UGGCGCUUGAGGCUUUUUGCCUCAUGACGGUAAAAAGUUGUGCGGCAGAAAGAAGAAAGCCCCGAAGGUCAUUUUUCAAUUAACCAACGAGGCCUGUCUAUAUGCUAGUCACAUGUAGAGUAGCCUCUUACCCGCCGAAAGGCAAGGAGCCGCAGGUUAUGAAG
Molecule: antisense RNA, 164 nt
Filed under: Kosakonia sp. AG348
Lineage: Bacteria; Pseudomonadati; Pseudomonadota; Gammaproteobacteria; Enterobacterales; Enterobacteriaceae
Description: sok antitoxin
Rfam family: sok antitoxin (CssrC)
About the family: Also identified in Shigella as CssrC.
Source: RNAcentral